RNAcentral lists this long non-coding RNA (206 nucleotides) under Rosa chinensis. Its description in RNAcentral is "sRNA RchiOBHm_Chr2g0138571". Lineage: Eukaryota; Viridiplantae; Streptophyta; Magnoliopsida; Rosales; Rosaceae. The record is from RNAcentral.
CAACAAGGUCCUCACACAAAAGCACAAUAAUUUAGAAAUCUUGUAUUACUAGCAUUUUAUUUCCAGGGUAAUAUAAGCAAAACUCAUACCAAGUAGAAGAAGGUACUAGUAUAGAAACUGAAGUUUGAUUUCAGUUAAAUAUCAAAUAAGCUUAAAUAAUCUAUUCCAUCAGACACAAGUUAUUUUAGAGCACAAGCCAUAGCUCG